Molecule: ribosomal RNA, 682 nt
Filed under: uncultured equine intestinal eubacterium sp. DL19
Lineage: Bacteria
Description: bacterial SSU rRNA
Rfam family: Bacterial small subunit ribosomal RNA
Source: RNAcentral
ACGCCCUAAACGAUGAAUGCUAGGUGUAGGGGGCUUAAGCCUUCUGUGCCGCAGCUAACGCAAUAAGCAUUCCACCUGGGGAGUACGGCCGCAUGGUUGAAACUCAAAGGAAUUGACGGGAGCCCGCACAAGCAGUGGAGUAUGUGGUUUAAUUCGACGCAACGCGAAAAACCUUACCAAGGAUUGACAUCCACGGAAUCCGGCGUAAUGGCCGGAGUGCCUCUUCGGAGGAAUCGUGAGACAGGUGGUGCAUGGUUGUCGUCAGCUCGUGUCGUGAGAUGUUGGGUUAAGUCCCGCAACGAGCGCAACCCUUACUGUUAGUUGCUACGCAAGAGCACUCUGGCAGGACUGCCGUUGACAAAACGGAGGAAGGUGGGGACGACGUCAAAUCAUCAUGCCCCUUAUAUCUUGGGCUACACACGUACUACAAUGGCGCAAACAAAGGGAAGCGAAGCCGCGAGGCGGAGCAAAACCCAUAAAAGGCGCCCCAGUUCAGACUGCAGGCUGCAACUCGCCUGCACGAAGUUGGAAUUGCUAGUAAUCGCGGAUCAGCAUGCCGCGGUGAAUACGUUCCCGGGCUUUGUACACACCGCCCGUCAAACCAUGAAAGUUGAAAACACCCGAAGCCGAUGGGCUAACCGCAAGGAGGCAGUCGUCGAAGGUGGGUUCAAUGAUUGGGGUU